This 667-nucleotide ribosomal RNA is filed under the name Pseudovibrio sp. RNAcentral describes it as "bacterial SSU rRNA". It matches the Rfam family "Bacterial small subunit ribosomal RNA", at positions 28 to 740 of the family's 1533-position model. The record is from RNAcentral. Lineage: Bacteria; Pseudomonadati; Pseudomonadota; Alphaproteobacteria; Hyphomicrobiales; Stappiaceae.
AACGAACGCUGGCGGCAGGCCUAACACAUGCAAGUCGAACGGAUCCUUCGGGAUUAGUGGCAGACGGGUGAGUAACGCGUGGGAAGCUACCUUGUGGUAGGGAACAACAGUUGGAAACGACUGCUAAUACCCUAUGAGCCCUAUGGGGGAAAGAUUUAUCGCCAUGAGAUGUGCCCGCGUUAGAUUAGCUAGUUGGUAAGGUAAUGGCUUACCAAGGCGACGAUCUAUAGCUGGUCUGAGAGGAUGAUCAGCCACACUGGGACUGAGACACGGCCCAGACUCCUACGGGAGGCAGCAGUGGGGAAUAUUGGACAAUGGGGGCAACCCUGAUCCAGCCAUGCCGCGUGAGUGAUGACGGCCUUAGGGUUGUAAAGCUCUUUCAGCAGUGAAGAUAAUGACAUUAACUGCAGAAGAAGCCCCGGCUAACUUCGUGCCAGCAGCCGCGGUAAUACGAAGGGGGCUAGCGUUGUUCGGAAUCACUGGGCGUAAAGCGUACGUAGGCGGACUGAUCAGUCAGGGGUGAAAUCCCGGGGCUCAACCCCGGAACUGCCUUUGAUACUGUCAGUCUUGAGAUCGAGAGAGGUGAGUGGAACUCCGAGUGUAGAGGUGAAAUUCGUAGAUAUUCGGAAGAACACCAGUGGCGAAGGCGGCUCACUGGCUCGAWAMC